AUCCAGCGUGGGAUACUAUAAUAUCCCACGGCAGAUCCACCGUGGGAUAUUAUAGUAUCCCACGCGCAC
This 69-nucleotide microRNA precursor is filed under the name Paramuricea clavata. The record is from RNAcentral. Lineage: Eukaryota; Metazoa; Cnidaria; Anthozoa; Malacalcyonacea; Plexauridae.